Molecule: ribosomal RNA, 513 nt
Filed under: uncultured bacterium
Lineage: Bacteria
Description: partial 16S ribosomal RNA
Rfam family: Bacterial small subunit ribosomal RNA
Source: RNAcentral
GACGAACGCUGGCGGCAUGCCUAAUACAUGCAAGUCGAGCGAACAGAUGAAGUGCUUGCACUUCUGACGUUAGCGGCGAACGGGUGAGUAACACGUAAGGAAUCUACCUAUAAGCGGGGGAUAACAUUCGGAAACGGGUGCUAAUACCGCAUAAUAUCUUCUUCCGCAUGGAAGAAGAUUGAAAGACGGCUCUGCUGUCACUUAUAGAUGACCUUGCGGUGCAUUAGUUAGUUGGAGGGGUAACGGCCUACCAAGACGAUGAUGCAUAGCCGACCUGGGUGGGUGAUCGACCACAUUGGGACUGAGACACGGCCCGAACUCCUACGGGAGGCAGCAGUAGGGAAUCUUCCGCAAUGGGCGAAAGCCUGACGGAGCAAUGCCGCGUGAGUGAAGAAGGCCGUCGGAUCGUAAAACUCUGUUAUAAGAGAAGAACAAAUUGUAGAGUACCUGCUACAGUCUUGACGGUAUCUUAUCAGAAAGCCACGGCUAACUACGUGCCAGCCGCCGCGGUAA